Molecule: long non-coding RNA, 790 nt
Filed under: Homo sapiens (human)
Lineage: Eukaryota; Metazoa; Chordata; Mammalia; Primates; Hominidae
Description: HSALNT0230444
Source: RNAcentral
UCAACCUGGACCUUAUAUCAUGUAUACAACUGUAGAUGCAAAUGGGUAUCUGAAAAAUGGAUCAGCUGGCCAACUCAGCCAAUCCGCACAUUUAGCUCUCCAACUACCAUACAACGUGCUUGGUUUAGGUCGGAGCGCAAAUUUUCUUGACCAUCUCUACGUUGGUAUUCCCCGUCCAUCUGGAGAAAAAUCUAUACGAAAACAAGAGUGGACUGCAAUCAUUCCAAAUUCCCAGCUAAUUGUCAUUCCAUACCCUCACAAUGUCCCUCGAAGGUAAUUGCCAAACUGUAUCUUACACCAAGUAAUAUUGUUCUGCUUACUGCUAUAGCUCUCAUCGGUGUCUGUGUUUUCAUCUUGGCAAUAAUUGGCAUUUUACAUUGGCAGGAAAAGAAAGCAGAUGAUAGAGAAAAACGACAAGAAGCCCACCGGUUUCAUUUUGAUGCUAUGUGACUUGCCUUUAAUAUUACAUAAUGGAAUGGCUGUUCACUUGAUUAGUUGAAACACAAAUUCUGGCUUGAAAAAAUAGGGGAGAUUAAAUAUUAUUUAUAAAUGAUGUAUCCCAUGGUAAUUAUUGGAAAGUAUUCAAAUAAAUAUGGUUUGAAUAUGUCACAAGGUCUUUUUUUUUAAAGCACUUUGUAUAUAAAAAUUUGGGUUCUCUAUUCUGUAGUGCUGUACAUUUUUGUUCCUUUGUGGAAUGUGUUGCAUGUACUCCAGUGUUUGUGUAUUUAUAAUCUUAUUUGCAUCAUGAUGAUGGAAAAAGUUGUGUAAAUAAAAAUAAUUAAAUGAGCAG